This 66-nucleotide transfer RNA is filed under the name Nematocarcinus gracilis. Its description in RNAcentral is "tRNA-Pro". The record is from RNAcentral. Lineage: Eukaryota; Metazoa; Arthropoda; Malacostraca; Decapoda; Nematocarcinidae.
CAGAAAGUAGUUUAAUAAAAAUAUUAGUUUUGGGGACUUAAGUUGGGAGGUAUCUCUUCUUUCUGA